Molecule: ribosomal RNA, 237 nt
Filed under: uncultured bacterium
Lineage: Bacteria
Description: partial 16S ribosomal RNA
Rfam family: Bacterial small subunit ribosomal RNA
Source: RNAcentral
AGAGUUUGAUCAUGGCUCAGGAUGAACGCUGGCGGCGUGCUUAACACAUUCAAGUCGAACGGAGUUCAAUCGGGGAGCUUGCUCCCGGCUGAACUUAGUGGCGGACGGGUGAGUAAUGCAUGAGCAACCUGCCUUCAGGGAGGGGGGAUAACAUCGGGAAACCGGUGCUAAUACCGCAUAGAGCAUUUUGCAGGCAUCUGCGAGAUGGGAAAGGAGCAAUCCGCCUGGAGAUGGGCU